Molecule: ribosomal RNA, 235 nt
Filed under: uncultured bacterium
Lineage: Bacteria
Description: partial 16S ribosomal RNA
Rfam family: Bacterial small subunit ribosomal RNA
Source: RNAcentral
UGGCGGACGGGUGAGUAAUGUCUGGGAAACUGCCUGAUGGAGGGGGAUAACUACUGGAAACGGUAGCUAAUACCGCAUAACGUCGCAAGACCAAAGAGGGGGACCUUCGGGCCUCUUGCCAUCGGAUGUGCCCAGAUGGGAUUAGCUAGUAGGUGGGGUAACGGCUCACCUAGGCGACGAUCCCUAGCUGGUCUGAGAGGAUGACCAGCCACACUGGAACUGGGACACGGUCCAG